CGGACCUCAGAUCAGGCAAGACCACCCGCUGAGUUUAAGCAUAUCACUAAGCGGAGGAAAAGAAACUAACAAGGAUUUCCCUAGUAACGGCGAGCGAACCGGA
Molecule: ribosomal RNA, 103 nt
Filed under: Metalejeunea cucullata
Lineage: Eukaryota; Viridiplantae; Streptophyta; Jungermanniopsida; Porellales; Lejeuneaceae
Description: partial 26S ribosomal RNA
Rfam family: Eukaryotic large subunit ribosomal RNA
Source: RNAcentral